CACGUAGGGCGCAAGCGUUGUCCGGAAUUAUUGGGCGUAAAGAGCUCGUAGGCGGUCUGUUGCGUCCGCUGUGAAAACUCGGGGCUUAACCCCGAGCCUGCAGUGGAUACGGGCAGACUAGAGGUAGGUAGGGGAGAAUGGAAUUCCCGGUGUAGCGGUGAAAUGCGCAGAUAUCGGGAGGAACACCGGUGGCGAAGGCGGUUCUCUGGGCCUUACCUGACGCUGAGGAGCGAAAGCGUGGGGAGCGAACAGGGAUUGAGAUACCC
This 266-nucleotide ribosomal RNA is filed under the name uncultured bacterium. Its description in RNAcentral is "partial 16S ribosomal RNA". It matches the Rfam family "Bacterial small subunit ribosomal RNA", at positions 524 to 787 of the family's 1533-position model. The record is from RNAcentral.